This is a long non-coding RNA of Lepus europaeus (European hare), 1173 nucleotides long. RefSeq lists it as uncharacterized. The transcript has 3 exons. NCBI's taxonomy places the organism in Eukaryota, Metazoa, Chordata, Mammalia, Lagomorpha, Leporidae. The record is from RefSeq and is a predicted model, not a curated record.
CACAUUUAUUACAACUUGAUUAAUCAUUUUUUGAAACCCCAGAAUUGUUUCCAUUGCCACAGAAAGCAAGGAAUAUCUAUAACUAAAUUUUCAUGGUGUCAUCCUCUCAUCAAAUUGCAUUUGUUUAGACAAGAUUGUUCUCUGGUUGUCACUUCAAUCAAGAAUGUGAUCCACAGAGGAAGAGAGAGCCAGAAAGCAAGCAAGCUCUCGCCUGAUAGUUAACUCGACGCAUGCUCGCAACAGCUGACCCAGAGCCGGGAACCCGGAACCACCUGCACUACCAUCACUCGUCGCUUCCCAGGAUGCACAUUAGCAAGAAACUGGGCUCUGGAGCAGAGCCAGCCAGCACUGGAACCCAGUCACCCCAACAUGUCAGUGGAUAUGGGUGUCUCAAGCAGUUCACUGCCAGGCCGACAUCCUGCUGCCAGGAGGGAAUGUUUAAGGAGUGUGACAAGGAGGAGCCACUGUAGGACAGUAGAACUCUGAAAGUGUGAUGGGAUGAUUGCUAAGACUAGCUCUGGGGUGAUCAGUUUUAAACCGAACAUUGAGCUUCUGAUACUGGAGUAGAACAAAGGUUUCAUCUCUUCCACUUUAAGAAAGUCAAUUCGCAUCUUGAAGAGAAUUCACAGAUGCUGCUAACACCUUGGUUGAUGAUUAAGCAUUGGUUCGAAUGUGUAUGAUAUGCUCAAGGAAACUAGAUUCAAAGAAGAAAGUAUUGUAUUCUUGAUAGUAUUUCUCAAUUUUAUCAUUUUCAGCAAAAUAUUUUCAUAUCAUAGUAUUCUCAUAGUUAGAAAAUUAUUAUUGUAAUAGUAAUUAAUAAUUCUAAAAGUAGCACAAGAAAAGCCAGAUAUGGUUUUGCAUGCUCAGUAGGAAAUGAUAUUUUAAAAUUCAUGGUAGACUACUUUUCUGGUGAAAUUAUGUAGUCUAUUUUUAGGGAGGUGGGUUUUGAAGUGACAUAUAUAGAUGAUGCAUUGGGUUAAAAAUUCAGUUAGAUAGUUUUCAUAUGUUGUGUAUAUCUUUAAAACUCUGAGAUUGCACUGCUACCGUUGGCCCACCAUGUGCCAUAUUCUGCCAUGUGACAUAUGGCCCAGCAUACAGAAAUACUCACCAAAAUCUAUGUCAGUGCCUGCAGAGAGUGAGAAAUUGUCCCUAUGGUGGAGCAAUGUUAGUAAA